This 455-nucleotide long non-coding RNA is filed under the name Astyanax mexicanus (Mexican tetra). RNAcentral's name for it is "lncRNA (ENSAMXG00005022486.1)". Lineage: Eukaryota; Metazoa; Chordata; Actinopteri; Characiformes; Acestrorhamphidae. The record is from RNAcentral.
AUUAUCUCCACUGCUUGUCAAGCCAACAAGACUAAUGCAGGCAGGGAGGAUGAAAAUCAAAACAACUAAAACUCUAAAGGCUGCAGUCUCAUCACCCUUUAAUCCAUAUACAGCACUUUGGAGAAAACAGUUCAAUCCACAGCAUGGGAGUAGACUCAAGAGAGCUUCCUGAGGCCAAAGAUGCUUUUUGGCUUUUCCCAGACCUAGGUCCCACUUUCAGAACUACAGUGAGUAUGGAUUUACAGGGACACGCAAUGAAGACAAAACAUCGACCAAGAAACAAAUCCAUUCCCAUUUCACGACAGCGCAGCGACCCCCUGCCCCGGCAUCACGCUACUUCAUGCAGAAAUGGCAAAAGUGAAAACAACAGCUGUGCACUCUGUCUCUGACAGCCCUGGGCUCGAGUUCCUUUCAGAAAAGCAUAUUAGUAUUAAUAAAGUUCAACUGAGUGUUCA